Long non-coding RNA from Mustela erminea (ermine), 1125 nucleotides. RefSeq lists it as uncharacterized. NCBI's taxonomy places the organism in Eukaryota, Metazoa, Chordata, Mammalia, Carnivora, Mustelidae. The transcript is spliced from 3 exons. The record is from RefSeq and is a predicted model, not a curated record.
GUCAAAUAGGGACCAGUAUGAGGAUGCUGAAUGGUGUACAGAAGAGAGAUUUCUGAUGAUAGAAACUCUUAUGGAUAUAAUCUUCUCCUGGAGAUGUGGAAUAGCCUUCUCAAGUUGAGGGUUAUUCUAGAUACAGUAUGAUUGUCUAGAAGGAGGUGGAGAAGGAGGAAAUGCCCAUCACUUACCUAAGCACAUAUGGCAGCCUUACCUGCAUCAAUGUGGAGUACUAUGUGCUCAAGGGCAAUCACUUUAAGAAAUGCUCUGAGUGGACUCUGGUCACAGAGCUGGUGAGCUCUCAGUAAUCGUACUGAUGAGAACAGGGAAGGUAUGAUGGGGAAGCAUUGUCAUGAGGUAAAAUAAUACCUCAUGAAGUAAAAGGAAAGUUCUGGUUUUGUUUUUGCAGUGUUCAAGUUUGCUGAUCUCUGUACUCCUGGAAAACAGCAAUGAUUAAGAAAUCCCCCUACCUUUUUGCAUUCUGGGAAACAGCUUGAUGCAAAGAACCACCCUUCUCUGCAUGAUUGUUGCUUGUUCACCCAAAGUGAUAUCUGAAGAGUGGCUAAAGCCAGAAGAGGGCUGCAGAUACACACUGGAGACCUCUCUUCAUGGAGGUGGGAGGUGACAACCGGCAGCUUGAAGUAAUGAAGUCAAAGAAUUUUCAGAAGAGUUCGGAAAAAGAGAAUAGACUUGGGGUUAGAACCUUCAGGCAUAUUAGAUAUUCGAGGAAAAUCAAGAAAUCCUAGUACUGGUGACGUUCAGACAACACAAGCAUUGGCACACCAACCCCUUCUUCAUAGUGGAAAAUACGUGUACAACUUGACUUCCCCAAAACUUACCUACGAGUUGCCCACUGUUGACAAGAAGCCCUACCAAUAACAUGAACAGUUGGUUAACACAGAUUUUGUAUGUUAGAUGUAUUCUCUAUUCUUAUAGUAAAGUGAGGUAGAGAAAAGUAAAUGUUAUUAAAGUUAUAAGGAAGAGAAAAUACAUUUACAUACUGUACUCUUUUAAUAAAAAAAAUCUGUGUGAAAGUAGACCUUUGGAGUUCAAACUCAUGUUUUUCAAGGGUCAACUACAGAGGGAAAGCAAUAAACAGGAUUCACUGGCUUUCAUAAAAUAUGAAAAGGC